UACGUAGGGUGCAAGCGUUGUCCGGAAUUAUUGGGCGUAAAGAGCUCGUAGGCGGUCUGUCGCGUCGGAUGUGAAAACCCAGGGCUCAACCCUGGGCCUGCAUUCGAUACGGGCAGACUAGAGUUCGGUAGGGGAGACUGGAAUUCCUGGUGUAGCGGUGAAAUGCGCAGAUAUCAGGAGGAACACCGGUGGCGAAGGCGGGUCUCUGGGCCGAAACCGACGCUGAGGAGCGAAAGCGUGGGGAGCAAACAGG
RNAcentral lists this ribosomal RNA (253 nucleotides) under uncultured bacterium. Its description in RNAcentral is "partial 16S ribosomal RNA". It matches the Rfam family "Bacterial small subunit ribosomal RNA", at positions 524 to 776 of the family's 1533-position model. The record is from RNAcentral.